RNAcentral lists this ribosomal RNA (254 nucleotides) under uncultured bacterium. RNAcentral describes it as "partial small subunit ribosomal RNA". It matches the Rfam family "Bacterial small subunit ribosomal RNA", at positions 26 to 285 of the family's 1533-position model. The record is from RNAcentral.
AGGACGAACGCUGGCGGCGUGCUUAACACAUGCAAGUCGAGCGGAAAGGCCCUUCGGGGUACUCGAGCGGCGAACGGGUGAGUAACACGUGAGGAACCUGCCCUGGACUUUGGGAUAACCCUCGGAAACGGGGGCUAAUACCGAAUAUGACUGCCGGCCGCAUGGUUGGUGGUGGAAAGUUUUUCGGUCUGGGAUGGUCUCGCGGCCUAUCAGCUUGUUGGUGGGGUAAUGGCCUACCAAGGCGACGACGGGUA